This is a non-coding RNA of Aegilops tauschii subsp. strangulata, 1044 nucleotides long. Lineage: Eukaryota; Viridiplantae; Streptophyta; Magnoliopsida; Poales; Poaceae. The record is from RefSeq and is a predicted model, not a curated record.
GAAUUUGCCCUAAAACCGACCAAACGCGACUCGAAAACAAAGGACACGCAGAAACUCCUCGAUAACUACCUCUUUUGUGGCUCGUCCAAAAUAAAUUUUGCUACCAAAUCCAUGCUUAAAAAAAUGCCGUUCGCAGAAAAUUUCCAAGGUAGGUACCAUAUAUGACAUCUGUUAUAGAAUUUGCCCUAAAACCGACCAAACACGACUCGGAAGGAAAGGACACGCAGAAACUCCUCGAUAAUUACCUCUUUGGCGGCUUGCCCAAAAUAACUUUUUGCUACCCAAUCCAUGCUUAAAAAUGUCGUCCACAGAAUAUUUCCAUGUUUGGUACCCAUAUAUGACAUCUUGUACAGAAUUUACCCUAAAACCGACGAAACGCGACUCAAAAACAAAGGACACGCAAAAAUUCCUCCAUAACUACCUCUUUAGUGGCUUGUCCAAAAUAACUUUUUGCUACCCAAUCCAUGCUUAAAAAUUUCGGUCACAGAAUUUUUCCAUGUUAGGUAUCCAUAUAUGACGUCUUGUACAGAAUUUUCCCUAAAAGGGACCAAACCCGACUCAAAAACAAAGGACACGGAAAAACUACUAGAUAACUACCUUUUUCUUGGCUCAUCCAAAAUAACUUAUUGCUACCUGAUCCAUGCUUAAAAAAUGCUGGUCACAGAAUUUUUCCAAGUUAGGUACCCAUAUAUGACAGCUUGUCCAGAAUUUACCCUAAAACAAACCAAAUGCGACGCGAAAACAAAGGACACGCAAAAACUCCUGGAUAAAUAUCUCUUUUAUGGCUCGUCCAAAAUAAGUUUUUGCUACCCAAUCCAUGCUUAAAAAAUGUCGUUUACAUAAUUUUUCCAAGUUAGGUACCCAUAUAUGACAUCUUGUGCAUAAUUUGCCCUUAAACCUACCAAAUGCGACUCAAAAACAAAGGACCCGAAAAACUCCGCGAUAACUAACUCUUUCGUGGCUCGUCCAACAUAACUUUUUAUAACCCAACCCAUAUAUGACAUGUUGUACAGAAUUUGCCCUAAAACCGACCAAACGCGACUC